This 601-nucleotide small RNA is filed under the name Pongo abelii (Sumatran orangutan). RNAcentral describes it as "retained intron". Lineage: Eukaryota; Metazoa; Chordata; Mammalia; Primates; Hominidae. The record is from RNAcentral.
AAUUUUACCAUCUUUCACCAUGAACUUUUUCCCCACUCUUCCCUCCCCUUCCCUCUCCUGGCCCCCCAUCCCACACUUGCCAUGGUGACCACAUGUACCUUUUCCCCCUGUUACGUGAGGCAGUUCUGACACUGUCUGCUCCCCCUGUAGUGCCAGGCUUCUGUUGCACAGUUGGAGUGGACUGGAAGUCUCUCACUACUCCGGCGUGCCUCCCCCUCACCACCGACUACUUCCCUGACCGCCAGGGCCUGCAGAAUGACUACACAGAGGGCUGUUAUGAUCUCCUUCCAGAAGCAGACAUCGACAGGAGGGACGAAGAUGGUGUGCAGAUGACAGCCCAGCAGGUGUUUGAAGAGUUUAUUUGCCAGCGUCUCAUGCAGGGCUACCAAAUCAUAGUGCAGCCCAAGGCACAGAAACCCAAUCCUGCCGUCCCGCCCCCGCUGAGCAGUAGCCCACUCUAUAGCCGAGGCCUUGUGUCCCGAAACCGCCCUGAGGAGGAGGACCAGUAUUGGCUGAGUAUGGGCAGAACGUUCCACAAAGUGACGCUGAAGGAUAAGAUGAUCACAGUGACGCGAUACCUUCCCAAGUAUCCUUAUGAAUC